GACGAACGCUGGCGGCGUGCUUAACACAUGCAAGUCGAACGGUGAAGCUCCAGCUUGCUGGAGUGGAUCAGUGGCGAACGGGUGAGUAACACGUGAGCAACCUGCCCCUGACUCUGGAAUAAGCGCUGGAAACGGCGUCUAAUACUGGAUACGAGAAGGGUCCGCAUGGGCACUUUCUGGAAAGUUUUUCGGUUGGGGAUGGGCUCGCGGCCUAUCAGCUUGUUGGUGAGGUAAUGGCUCACCAAGGCGACGACGGGUAGCCGGCCUGAGAGGGCGACCGGCCACACUGGGACUGAGACACGGCCCAGACUCCUACGGGAGGCAGCAGUGGGGAAUAUUGCACAAUGGGCGAAAGCCGGAUGCAGCGACGCCGCGUGAGGGAUGACGGCCUUCGGGUUGUAAACCUCUUUCAGCAGGGAAGAAGCGAAAGUGACGGUACCUGCAGAAGAAGCACCGGCUAACUACGU
Molecule: ribosomal RNA, 467 nt
Filed under: uncultured bacterium
Lineage: Bacteria
Description: partial 16S ribosomal RNA
Rfam family: Bacterial small subunit ribosomal RNA
Source: RNAcentral